This 449-nucleotide ribosomal RNA is filed under the name Thermococcus sp. ES8. Its description in RNAcentral is "bacterial SSU rRNA". It matches the Rfam family "Archaeal small subunit ribosomal RNA", at positions 68 to 515 of the family's 1478-position model. The record is from RNAcentral. Lineage: Archaea; Methanobacteriati; Methanobacteriota; Thermococci; Thermococcales; Thermococcaceae.
CUUGUGCGCACCGGCGGACGGCUCAGUAACACGUCGGUAACCUACCCUCGGGAGGGGGAUAACCCCGGGAAACUGGGGCUAAUCCCCCAUAGGCCUGAGGUACUGGAAGGUCCUCAGGCCGAAAGGGGCUCUGCCCGCCCGAGGAUGGGCCGGCGGCCGAUUAGGUAGUUGGUGGGGUAACGGCCCACCAAGCCGAAGAUCGGUACGGGCCAUGAGAGUGGGAGCCCGGAGAUGGACACUGAGACACGGGUCCAGGCCCUACGGGGCGCAGCAGGCGCGAAACCUCCGCAAUGCGGGCAACCGCGACGGGGGGACCCCCAGUGCCGUGGCAUCGCCACGGCUUUUCCGGAGUGUAAAGAGCUCCGGGAAUAAGGGCUGGGCAAGGCCGGUGGCAGCCGCCGCGGUAAUACCGGCGGCCCGAGUGGUGGCCGCUAUUAUUGGGCCUAAAG